Heterocephalus glaber (naked mole-rat) is the source of this 686-nucleotide non-coding RNA. The record is from RefSeq and is a predicted model, not a curated record. NCBI's taxonomy places the organism in Eukaryota, Metazoa, Chordata, Mammalia, Rodentia, Bathyergidae.
AGUGGUGAGGCAGGAGCUGGAGCUCGUUGCUUUUAGCCACUUCCGUCUCUCGCCGCCUUCCGCUGCCUUUCCUGAUUCAGGCACGAGGAGAGAGGAAGGCGUUUGUGUGAAGUCUGCUUUCCGUUCCGAGGGUGGAAGGGUGGUCUCCUAGCAUCUGUCUGCUAAUCCCCAGUCUCCAAGGUUGCUUUGGUUUCCUGGAAGUCUCCUUUGGUAGUCACACACAUCGCCCCUCCUUUUUUAGGGCUUCCCCAUCUGUGCAAGUCAGCUAUGGAUUUUCAGCUUUUGUGAUUGGGGCUAGGCCUGUGCAGAAGGGAAUGAAUUGAUUAGAGACUCUGGCACUGAGUAUCAGAUUUUGCAGGACAUACAGUAUGUUCCUCCAGAGCUACAUAAGAAAUGGAAAGAAUUCACAGCUCACUUCUUUCACUGAGUGGGGAGCCUCAGCAGAUCCUAGGCUGGUGGAAACUUGCUUCAUGUUGGAGAGAAGUCCUGCUGAACUCUGCGAGGGAACAUACUGUGCCUUGCUGGCGUACUGGGUAGACAUGAUUGUUACCUGGGAACAAAUGGAAGCCUAGAGAAGAGAGGCACCAAGUACAAGUUCACGUGGUAUGGGUGUCCAACAUCAGUCCCUGUCCCGUUCCCGCUUUAUUCUCCUCAGAGCCUGCAUCAUAAAUACAGUGAUCGACCGA